UACGUAGGUGGCAAGCGUUGUUCGGAAUUACUGGGCGUAAAGCGCGCGCAGGCGGCCCUUUAAGUCCGUCGGUCAAAUGCCGGGGCUCAACCCCGAUGCAUGCCGAGGAUACUGGAGGGCUGGAGACACGUAGAGGCAAGCGGAAUUCCGGGUGUAGCGGUGGAAUGCGUAGAGAUCCGGAAGAACACCGGAGGCGAAGGCGGCUUGCUGGGCGUGAUCUGACGCUGAGGCGCGAAAGCGUGGGGAGCGAACAGG
RNAcentral lists this ribosomal RNA (255 nucleotides) under uncultured bacterium. Its description in RNAcentral is "partial 16S ribosomal RNA". It matches the Rfam family "Bacterial small subunit ribosomal RNA", at positions 524 to 776 of the family's 1533-position model. The record is from RNAcentral.